GGGGGGGGGGGGGGGGGGGCGGAGGGGGGGCGGGGCGAGGGGAGAGGCCCGGCGUUGGUGGGGGGGUCGAGUGGCGAACGGGUGAGUAACGCGUGAGUAACCUGCCCUUGACGUUGGGAUGAAUUCAGGAAACUGGGGCGAAUACCGGCUAGGGGCUCCUGCUGCAUGGUGGUGGUUGGAAAGUUUCGGCGGUUGGGGAUGGACUCGCGGCUUAUCAGCUUGUUGGUGGGGUAGUGGCUUACCAAGGCUUGGACGGGAAGCCGGCCUGAGAGGGUGACCGGCCACAUUGGGACUGAGAUACGGCCCAGACUCCUACGGGAGGCAGCAGUGGGGAAUAUUGCACAAUGGGCCGAAGCCUGAUGCAGCAACGCCGCGUGCGGGAUGACGGCCUUCGGGUUGUAAACCGCUUUCGCCUGUGACGAAGCGUGAGUGACGGUAAUGGGUAAAGAAGCACCGGCUAACUACGUG
RNAcentral lists this ribosomal RNA (468 nucleotides) under uncultured bacterium. RNAcentral describes it as "partial 16S ribosomal RNA". It matches the Rfam family "Bacterial small subunit ribosomal RNA", at positions 26 to 507 of the family's 1533-position model. The record is from RNAcentral.